AGAGGCGGUAGCAUAAAUUAAUGCGCUUUAUUGAAAAUGAAGAGAAUGAUGAUAGUAUCCUGUCUCUU
Molecule: transfer RNA, 68 nt
Filed under: Perumytilus purpuratus
Lineage: Eukaryota; Metazoa; Mollusca; Bivalvia; Mytilida; Mytilidae
Description: tRNA-Phe
Rfam family: tRNA
About the family: Transfer RNA (tRNA) molecules are approximately 80 nucleotides in length. Their secondary structure includes four short double-helical elements and three loops (D, anti-codon, and T loops).
Source: RNAcentral